CGGGUGAGUAAUGUAUGGGGAUCUGCCUGAUGGCGGGGGAUAACUACUGGAAACGGUAGCUAGUACCGCAUAAUGUCUGCGGACCAAAGCGGGGGACCUCCGGGCCUCGCGCCAUCAGAUGAACCCAUAUGGGAUUAGCUUGUAGGUAAGGUAACGGCUUACCUAGGCGACGAUCCCUAGCUGGUCUGAGAGGAUGAUCAGCCACACUGGGACUGAGACACGGCCCAG
This 228-nucleotide ribosomal RNA is filed under the name uncultured bacterium. RNAcentral's name for it is "partial 16S ribosomal RNA". It matches the Rfam family "Bacterial small subunit ribosomal RNA", at positions 103 to 334 of the family's 1533-position model. The record is from RNAcentral.